This is a long non-coding RNA of Mugil cephalus (flathead mullet), 291 nucleotides long. RefSeq lists it as uncharacterized. The record is from RefSeq and is a predicted model, not a curated record. Lineage: Eukaryota; Metazoa; Chordata; Actinopteri; Mugiliformes; Mugilidae. The transcript is spliced from 2 exons.
AUGUCUGCCUUGAACGUGCCCUAUAUAUCUAACUUUUAGUUGUCCACAUUGCAGUCGUGGUCACGCGAAGCACACAUUAGGUGAAACUUUUGAAUUAAAUUUGACAAACUCAAUGCAAACCAGAUUUUUCUUUUUAACUCUAGGACACGUAAACGAGUACACCCAGCUGAAACGUCAUAAACAUACGGAAGACACUGAAUGAGGUCUUGAGCGAAGUUGGCGGUUGGUCUGAUCCGGACGAACACUCCGACCUCGCCGCUGGGACCCCUCAUAGCACCGGUGUAAAAAGAA